Molecule: ribosomal RNA, 566 nt
Filed under: Hyalinobatrachium fleischmanni (northern glassfrog)
Lineage: Eukaryota; Metazoa; Chordata; Amphibia; Anura; Centrolenidae
Description: partial 16S ribosomal RNA
Rfam family: Bacterial large subunit ribosomal RNA
Source: RNAcentral
CGCCUCUUGAAUAGAUAUAAGAGGUCCAGCCUGCCCAGUGACCAUGUUCAACGGCCGCGGUAUCCUAACCGUGCGAAGGUAGCGUAAUCACUUGUUCUUUAAAUAAGGACUAGUAUGAACGGUUCCACGAGGGUUAUACUGUCUCCUCUUUCUAAUCAGUGAAACUAAUCUCCCCGUGAAGAAGCGGGAAUAAGAAUAUAAGACGAGAAGACCCUAUGGAGCUUUAAACUAUAAAGCAAUUGCCCCUAUAUAAUCAAAUUUCAGAAAACCACUAUUACCAAGGCAACAUGACUCUUAGUUUUAGGUUGGGGUGACCGCGGAGCAAAAAAUAACCUCCACAUUGAAAGGAGCCAACUCCUUAGCCGAGAGCCACAUCUCCACGCACCAACAAAAAGACAUUAAUUGACCCAAUAUUUUGAUCAACGAACCAAGUUACCCUAGGGAUAACAGCGCAAUCCACUUCAAGAGCUCCUAUCGACAAGUGGGUUUACGACCUCGAUGUUGGAUCAGGGUAUCCCGGUGGUGCAGCCGCUACCAAAGGUUCGUUUGUUCAACGAUUAAAACCC